This 512-nucleotide long non-coding RNA is filed under the name Hordeum vulgare. RNAcentral describes it as "long non-coding RNA (HVUL_LNC014575)". Lineage: Eukaryota; Viridiplantae; Streptophyta; Magnoliopsida; Poales; Poaceae. The record is from RNAcentral.
UGCCGUUCUAGUACUUGUUUUGUUUGAUUUUCUUGAUUGUCUGGUGCGUAGUUAGUUUACCUCCGUUCGAACUGAUCCUUGGUUCUGUUUCUCCUUUUUAUGGAACAGAGAUGCCAUGUGAAGAACAUACCUAUAACUGGGAGUUGCUGUGGAUGGUGUGUACAUGUGUCAGUGGUAAGCUAUGGCGGGCAAAUCAAGGAUGAGCUGAGAUGCAUUUCUUGGGCACCAUUAGUACCGAACGCCCUUCCGUCCUAAUGCAUCACCUGGUCCAUCUUUUAUCCUUCAGGCUUAAGUAAAGGACAGCACAUUGGGUUGGUUAGUUUAAACUAAAUCGUCCUUUAUCAUCUAUAGCUUCCGUCCUCAGAAAGGUCGCAAGCUCAUCUGCAACAGCAAUCGCGCGUUGCUCUGGUAGAGACUUCUUCCUCAUGGCCGUGUACUAUAUAAGAAGAGGAGAUGAAUAUGAAUAUCAAUCAUGAUAACAAAGAAUGACGGGUAAAAAUAGAGGUGUGAAU